UGAGGAACAAGUGAAAGGGGGAGAGCGAAGGGGGAGAGAGAGAGGAAGGGGGGAGAACCAUCCCACCUGCCACGACUCUGUCGACGUCGCAGAGCUGCUGAAUCCACUCCGAACAGGUCUCAGCACACGGGCUCAGAGUAUUAGAAAACAAAGGAAAAAGAGAUUGGAGAGAGAGGAAUCAGAGCGAUGGAGACUGCAGCGAGCCAGAGUUAAUUCAGCUUCAGUUGUGGAAAAACGUGAAGCGAUGCAGCAGGGCAGAGCUGAGAAUGAAAGGCAUGGAGGCAGUGGGGGGUAAAAGAGAAGCAAAGAGGGGCCACAGCAUGCUGAACUGCACUAAAAUGUGUGUGAAACUGCAGCUGAACCACUAACCUAUUUCAAUUUACAAUCUAAAGCUAUGCAGUUAGAUAAUGUAUCAAAUCUGAUCAUUAGAUUCAUGCUGUAAUUCAGUUUUAGGUUGAUUUUGCUCACUGCUCAGUGUAAUGUUAUUCUUCUAAACAGUCAAAAACAAAGACUUUAGAAGGACUACGUUAAAUAUUCAGGCCCUACAGUAGAAACUCAAAGCAACCAAAGUGAAAUGUCUGUCCACGUGUGAUCUCCAAUCAGUUUAACGGCAUGAACAUGGCUCUGAAAUGAGCUGUGAACGGCAGAACUUUCUCAGUUUUAUGGACUGUGUCUAUCUAUGUGUGCAUCAUGGCUCCACAUGGAAAAGAACCGGAGAGAGGAGCUGAAAAAUCGGGCUGCGAGACUUGACAAAGACGGAAAAGGAUCCUGGAAGAUGCAUGAAAAAUCAGUCAAAGCAACAGUAACCAGGAGGUAGAGAAGGAGCCGUAGUACCACUGAUCAUGGCUGCUGGGUUCGUCCUCCUUAAAUUGCCAGAGGAGCUGAAAGAAUCUGAUUAUAAGACUUCACAAAGUUGGAAAAUGAUCCAGGAAGAUCAACUAAAACACAGCUGCAGCAGUAAUCAGGAGGUACAGAAGGAUCCAUAGCACCACUAAUCAGAGCUGGAGUCCUGGUCUUUGGGUUUUUUUGUUCUACUUUUGAGUCUAUCUGCAUGUCUGCAUCAUGGCUCCACAUGGGAAAUAACUGACAGAGAAACUGAAGAUGGAAAAUAAUCCAGGAAGAUCAGCAAGAAGCUGUGAAACAGAGUGUCAGCAGUAAGCAGGAUACCUCCUCAGAAUGAGUCAUAGUACCACUAAUCAUGGCUGCAGUGGUCGUCCUCCUAAAAUGACUCCACAGACAGUGAACUACUUUCACAAUCGGACUCUAUAAACAGAUAACAGCUGCUUCAGGUUUGACAAAGGGAUUAUCAAUGGAAAACAGAGUUUCUGUGAAGCUCAACCUCUAUGGAAAGAGGACAAGAAGGCAGUCUUGCUAGCUUUUUAACACAAAGAUGCACAAUGAAACUUUGCGAAAGAGCAUCUUGAAAGAAGCCUGAUAAAUAUUGGAGAACAUUCUUUGGUCAGAUGAAGAUAAAUGAGUUGUUCUUAGAUGGAGUCCAGCAUGUUUGGUGUGAACCUGACCAGGACUACCACAGUGGAUGAAUGGUCCUGACAGUGAAGCAUGGAGGUGGAAGUAUGAUGAUAUGGAGCUGAAUGAGAGGAAAAGGUGUUGGAGAGACGACAUUGAUAGAUGAAUGUCUAUGGAUAUACCAGCAUACUGACAGACGAGAACCUGGAAGAAGAGGAAUAUUCCAGCAGGAAAACCAUCCAAAGAGCUAAAUCUACAGGAGAGUUUCCACAUACACUACCGUUCAAAAAGUUUGGGGUCAUCCCAUAGACUGCAUAUAAAGUGGACGUAGCAUCUGUCUCCAAAAAUGAAGCCCACCCGGAAGUGUCAAAAACUUGCAAUAUCACGCCGUCCGCUAGGGUUGGCUCCAAAAAGCUUUUUCUCCAUAGACCCCAAUUCAUUUUUGGAAAAAAUAAAAUUUGAUAGACUGAUGUUCUACAGCUCAGGAUUUUUUUCCCGUUAGUUUUCAUGGUCAAAAUGAGAGAUCAGGUGGCCGAUCUUAAAAUAAAUCAAUACUGAAUUUUAAAUAAAUCGUUAAAGUUGGCGGAGCCAGGGGGCGUGGCUAUACUUGAUAGACAGCAACAGAAGCCUCUGCGGUAAAAUGUGGGCGGGAUAAGAGAGUCCUCAGCCAAUCCUGCCCCUAGUUGCUCUCCGGUCCAGUCUGUUUGACGCUUUUUACGUCACUGGCUCCAAAAAAUCCAAAACGGCGACCAGGAAGUAGCAAAAUCCGGUCUUCAUUUUCUCAGCGUUGAAACCAACGGGUGACGUCACGGUUAGUUUACGCCUGGGUCAUCCACACCAAUUCCAUGUUUUUCAUGAAAACUCCCACUUUUAUCCAUGUGCUAACAUAACUGUACAAGGGUUUUCUAAUCAUCAAUGAACACCAUUAGCUAACACAAUGUAGCAUUAGAACACAGGAGUGAUGGUUGCUGGAAAUGUUCCUCUGUACCCCUAUGGAGAUAUUCCAUUAAAAAUCAGCCGUUUCCAGCUAGAACAGUCAUUUACCACAUUAACAAUGUCUACACUGGAUUUAUCAUUCAUUUAAUGUGAUCUUCAUUGAAAAAAAAUGCUUUUCUUUCAAAAAUAAGAACAUUUCUAAGUGACCCCAAACUUCUGAAUGGUAGUGUAAAAACAAAGUGAAACAACUCGGACGCGGACAGCUGUGCAGUCUUGAAUUUAAUCCGACAGAACAUGUAAUUUAAAUAGAACAGCAACACAAACCCUCCAGCAAAGAACAAAUGAAGAAAAUGACCUCUGAAAAAUGACAGAACGUCUCUGCAGAAAUCUGGUAUCUGCCGUCUGUCAUCAGAAAUAAAGGUGGACGUACAAAGCAAUCGAAAAAACAAGAUUCAAAUCUUAGUAAUGAGUGGUGGACUGACAUUUGUUGCACUGAGUAUCGACUGUGCGGUCUGUAUUUUUAUUAUAGUAAAUCUAAACUGUCAGGUUUUAAUUUGACAUCGUAACAGAUUCUCUGCUGUCCACUUGUCAGGUGAUACAGUUUACAAUUAUUUACCAUGUAAAUGACUCACUUCUGGAGUAUACUGUAUAAUACACAGAGAAAAUACUAUUAUAUAACUGCACAGUUCAGCAAUGACUCCAAUAAUCACGCUGCUUGGUUUCUCAGUGAUGGACGUCUCCACAGGUCAGUAAAAGCAAAUUAUUGCUCAAGUGACUAGGCCCUACACUCUUCUAUAAGUGGGUAAGAAAAAAGUUAUCCAAAUAAGAAGCAAUGUGUUUUUCUGCCAUUGUGGUUAAGAAUAAUCAUUUGUAUUAUUUGUUUAUAUUAUGUCAGGGUCCUCUCCUCACCCUGGCAUCCCAAAUACCCCAUCCUAGCUGUCUCCCUCCUUUGUCUCUCCUUCUCUUGCUCUCCUCUCCCUCUGCUCUCUCCUCAGCUCUGCACUUGAGUGGAGUGUGGCUUCACAGUUGCCUUCACUCAGGUGAUUACCCGCCUCUCCCAGGAUCCGGGCAGCUGUGGCCCAUCAGCUGAUUACACACAACCUGCAAUAAAAGACCGGCUCAUCGCCCACACGCUGCCAGAUUGUUAAACCAGACUCAGCAAAGACCCAGCUGCCCGGAACCCUGUCAGAUCUGCCAGUCUCCCCGAAAUCCCUCCGAACCCCUCCUGGACUCCGUCGGCACCAAGCCAUCCUCCUUGGACCCCCUACUCGGCCCGUUUCCUGGAUCCUCCAGCCAGUCUCUAGCUUUGGCCCGUCUCUGGCCCCCACUGGCUCCUUUUCCCCUCCGGCGUUCCCCCCACGAGACCACGAGACGUCAGCCGCCACCUGGCCCAUCCACCAUCACGGCCCCCCGGACCGGCAGCGCCUGACAUUUCCCACACCGCCUACACCUGUCUCCUCAUUGGCUCUCCGCCCUCGUCGGUCUCCAGACGCCAGGAACCCAUCCACCACUACCCGCCGUACUCGGGUCCCUCUCACCUCCCUCCACUAUUCGCCUGCUGAAGCAAUAAAAAUCACUUUCUUUCA
Long non-coding RNA from Acanthochromis polyacanthus (spiny chromis), 3989 nucleotides. RefSeq lists it as uncharacterized. The transcript has 2 exons. Lineage: Eukaryota; Metazoa; Chordata; Actinopteri; Pomacentridae. The record is from RefSeq and is a predicted model, not a curated record.